CUUUAGCCAAAAAUUACAUAUACAUUAACUGUGAGACCAGUCAUCAGUAAUUAGGCAGUACAUUGAUAAGUUAAUACUACUGUUAUGAUAUAUAUCAGAACAAAUUUAGGAAUGUAGAUUAAGUGGAUAUAUGUGUGUUUAUGGUAUUGUGAAGGCAAUUGAGCUUGAAGACAAACAUUAACGGGGAGUACAUGAUUAUGCCUAGGCCUAAUCUGAAUGGACAUGUCCAAAAGACGAUUCAAGGUGAACCUUUCCUAUACACAGCCACUUCCCAAAGCAGGUAUAAUACUGAUGCUUUCUAAAUUAGAUUGAACGUGACUUACAUUAUUAUGUAAAUACCAAGCAAUGAAAAUUUAAAUUCCUCUUUCAAAUGCAGUUGGUGUAUAAUUCUUGGUGACUUGGUUGUUGGCCUAGAUGGAACAAAAAGAGGAGCAAAUUUUGGUCAUGCAGGAGUGUCAUUUCCGGGUUGCUCAUUUACUGACAAUAGAAGAACAAGAAGGUAUAGUUAUCUUGAUCAUGCUUUCUUUCAGUCUUGCUAUUAUACAUUAUUUACCUGAUAGAUACUAUAUCUUUUCCAUUUUAAAAAUGUUCUCAGAGCUUGCUGCACUCCAUUGUAUUGUAAUGUCUAACUUCUUAUUGUGUUAUGAAUUCAGACAGGUAGCUGCACUUCAUUUUUAUGAAUGCAGCAGAACCUUUUUACAGUCAUCAGUAUUUUACAGCAACAAACUCUUGCAAACCAAAAUUCAGCCACCAAGGGUCAUGAUUCAAAAGAUUCAUAAGUUGGCAC
RNAcentral lists this long non-coding RNA (787 nucleotides) under Fragaria vesca (wild strawberry). RNAcentral describes it as "long non-coding RNA (FVES_LNC000586)". The record is from RNAcentral. Lineage: Eukaryota; Viridiplantae; Streptophyta; Magnoliopsida; Rosales; Rosaceae.